GACGAACGCUGGCGGCGUGCUUAACACAUGCAAGUCGAACGGAAAGGCCCUGCUUUUGUGGGGUGCUCGAGUGGCGAACGGGUGAGUAACACGUGAGUAACCUGCCCUUGACUUUGGGAUAACUUCAGGAAACUGGGGCUAAUACCGGAUAGGAGCCCCUGCUGCAUGGUGGGGGUUGGAAAGUUUCGGCGGUUGGGGAUGGACUCGCGGCUUAUCAGCUUGUUGGUGGGGUAGUGGCUUACCAAGGCUUUGACGGGUAGCCGGCCUGAGAGGGUGACCGGCCACAUUGGGACUGAGAUACGGCCCAGACUCCUACGGGAGGCAGCAGUGGGGAAUAUUGCACAAUGGGCGGAAGCCUGAUGCAGCAACGCCGCGUGCGGGAUGACGGCCUUCGGGUUGCAAACCGCUUUCGCCUGUGACGAAGCGUGAGUGACGGUAAUGGGUAAAGAAGCACCGGCUAACUACGUG
This 468-nucleotide ribosomal RNA is filed under the name uncultured bacterium. RNAcentral's name for it is "partial 16S ribosomal RNA". It matches the Rfam family "Bacterial small subunit ribosomal RNA", at positions 28 to 507 of the family's 1533-position model. The record is from RNAcentral.